ACUCGUUGGUUAAUCUUUUGAUAGUAAACAAGAAGCAGGUGUGUCACCUCUGGAUGUGUUGAAUUAACUUGUAUGAUACGCGACUUGUCAGACAACGUACUGUAAUAUCAUAUUAGCAGAAACUAUUACAGAAAUUUACACUGCAAAUUUGUUCAAUUGCUGAAAACGAAUUUCCUUUUUCUAUUUAGGAUUUAAAAAUUUAUCAGAAUUAAUACAUGAUAUUAUUAUACCUAUGUACAUAGAAGAGGAGUAGCCGAUGAAGUGAUUUUCGGUAUACUCAACACAAUGGGAAUGUGCCAGGGUUGGAUGGAUGGUAGGUGCAGAGUCACAGGGUUCAUCGAGAGCGGGUGAAAAAUAUCUGUAAGCAUUGUGCGUGGUUGAUGAAAAUUGUUUUAUUGUCCUAAAAAUUACCUCAAAUUUUGUAUAAUCAUUCUGAAAAUUACAAAAACUAAUCUACCGUAUUACGUGUGAAUAAUAACGGAUAAAAACCAAUUAGACUCUUCGAGUAUAAAGUUUAGAUUUUUUCUCUUCCGUAUUUUCUCAUUCUCCGUACAACGAUUUGUACUAACGUGUUGGUCUUACAACUUCAAACCUAAUAAAUUUACA
Neodiprion virginianus is the source of this 606-nucleotide long non-coding RNA. RefSeq lists it as uncharacterized. The transcript has 2 exons. The record is from RefSeq and is a predicted model, not a curated record. NCBI's taxonomy places the organism in Eukaryota, Metazoa, Arthropoda, Insecta, Hymenoptera, Diprionidae.